Non-coding RNA from Caenorhabditis elegans, 21 nucleotides. Lineage: Eukaryota; Metazoa; Nematoda; Chromadorea; Rhabditida; Rhabditidae. The record is from Ensembl.
UUUCUAAAAAUCGCUGACAAU